RNAcentral lists this microRNA precursor (60 nucleotides) under Tupaia belangeri chinensis (Chinese tree shrew). Its description in RNAcentral is "Tupaia chinensis (Chinese tree shrew) microRNA tch-mir-26a precursor (tch-mir-26a-1)". Its record names the gene tch-mir-26a-1. It matches the Rfam family "mir-26 microRNA precursor family", at positions 12 to 70 of the family's 81-position model. Rfam says of the family: The hairpin precursors (represented here) are predicted based on base pairing and cross-species conservation -- their extents are not known. The record is from miRBase by way of RNAcentral. Lineage: Eukaryota; Metazoa; Chordata; Mammalia; Scandentia; Tupaiidae.
UUCAAGUAAUCCAGGAUAGGCUGUUUCCAUCCGUGAGGCCUAUUCUUGAUUACUUGUUUC